Molecule: non-coding RNA, 93 nt
Filed under: Rothia kristinae
Lineage: Bacteria; Bacillati; Actinomycetota; Actinomycetes; Micrococcales; Micrococcaceae
Description: Kocuria kristinae Glycine sequence
Rfam family: Glycine riboswitch aptamer
About the family: This family represents the bacterial glycine riboswitch.
Source: Rfam by way of RNAcentral
UCACGCGCGGCGGGAGAGCCCCGGGACCCACCGGGCGCCGAAGGAGCAAACCCUCCCCGGGAAACUCUCAGGCCAAGGUACCGCCGCAGCCCA